CCUACGGGCGGCAGCAGUGGGGAAUAUUGCACAAUGGGGGAAACCCUGAUCCAGCGACGCCGCGUGAGUGAAGAAGUUUUUCGGUAUGUAAAGCUCUAUCAGCAGGGGAGAAAAGGACGGUACCUGAUUAAGAAGCCCCGGCUAUCUACGUGCCAGCAGACGCGGUAAUACGUAGGGGGCAAGUGUUAUCCGGAUUUACUGGGUGUAAAGGGAGUGUAGACGGCAGCGCAAGUCUGAAGUGAAAUGCCGGGGGUUAACCCCGGAACUGCGGUUGAAACUGUGCAGCUAGAGUGCAGGAGAGGUAAGCGGAAUGCCUAGUGUAGCGGUGAAAUGCGUAGAUAUUAGGAGGAACACCAGUGGCGAAGGCGGCUUACUGGACUGUAACUGACGUUGAGGCUCGAAAGCGUGGGGAGCAAACAGGAUUAGAUACCCGUGUAGUC
RNAcentral lists this ribosomal RNA (440 nucleotides) under uncultured bacterium. RNAcentral's name for it is "partial 16S ribosomal RNA". It matches the Rfam family "Bacterial small subunit ribosomal RNA", at positions 338 to 795 of the family's 1533-position model. The record is from RNAcentral.